RNAcentral lists this ribosomal RNA (510 nucleotides) under uncultured bacterium. Its description in RNAcentral is "partial 16S ribosomal RNA". It matches the Rfam family "Bacterial small subunit ribosomal RNA", at positions 28 to 507 of the family's 1533-position model. The record is from RNAcentral.
GACGAACGCUGGCGGCGUGCUUAACACAUGCAAGUCGAACGAAGAGCGAUGGAAGCUUGCUUCUAUCAAUCUUAGUGGCGAACGGGUGAGUAACGCGUAAUCAACCUGCCCUUCAGAGGGGGACAACAGUUGGAAACGACUGCUAAUACCGCAUACGAUCUAAUCUCGGCAUCGAGGAUAGAUGAAAGGUGGCCUCUACAUGUAAGCUAUCACUGAAGGAGGGGAUUGCGUCUGAUUAGCUAGUUGGAGGGGUAACGGCCCACCAAGGCGAUGGUCAGUAGCCGGUCUGAGAGGAUGAACGGCCACAUUGGGACUGAGACACGGCCCAGACUCCUACGGGAGGCAGCAGUGGGGAAUCUUCCGCAAUGGACGAAAGUCUGACGGAGCAACGCCGCGUGAGUGAUGACGGCCUUCGGGUUGUAAAGCUCUGUUAAUCGGGACGAAAGGCCUUCUUGCGAAUAGUGAGAAGGAUUGACGGUACCGGAAUAGAAAGCCACGGCUAACUACGUG